This 520-nucleotide ribosomal RNA is filed under the name uncultured Bacillus sp. Its description in RNAcentral is "partial 16S ribosomal RNA". The record is from RNAcentral. Lineage: Bacteria; Bacillati; Bacillota; Bacilli; Caryophanales; Bacillaceae.
CACGUAGUUAGCCGUGGCUUUCUGGUCAGGUACCGUCAAGGUACGAGCAGUUACUCUCGUACUUGUUCUUCCCUAACAACAGAGUUUUACGAUCCGAAAACCUUCAUCACUCACGCGGCGUUGCUCCGUCAGACUUUCGUCCAUUGCGGAAGAUUCCCUACUGCUGCCUCCCGUAGGAGUCUGGGCCGUGUCUCAGUCCCAGUGUGGCCGAUCACCCUCUCAGGUCGGCUACGCAUCGUGGCCUUGGUGAGCCGUUACCUCACCAACUAGCUAAUGCGCCGCGGGCCCAUCUAUAAGUGACAGCGUAAACCGUCUUUUAGCUUUUCUACAUGUGUAGAAAAGCAUUAUCCGGUAUUAGCUCCGGUUUCCCGAAGUUAUCCCAGUCUUAUAGGCAGGUUGCCCACGUGUUACUCACCCGUCCGCCGCUAACCUUCGGGAGCAAACUCCCAAAGAUUCGCUCGACUUGCAUGUAUUAGGCACGCCGCCAGCGUUCUCCUGAGCCACGGAUACGAACUACUCU